AGAGUUUGAUCAUGGCUCAGAAUCAACGCUGGCGGCGCGCUUAACACAUGCAAGUCGCACGAGAAAGCGGGAGCAAUCUCGCAAGUACAGUGGCGUACGGGUGAGUAACACGUGGGUGAUCUACCUUUUAGUGGGGAAUAACGCUGGGAAACCGGCGCUAAUACCGCAUAAGCUCGAGAGAGGAAAGCAGCAAUGCGCUGAAAGAGGAGCCCGCGGCCGAUUAGCUGGUUGGGAGGGUAAAAGCCUACCAAGGCAAAGAUCGGUAGCCGGCCUGAGAGGGCACACGGCCACACUGGCACUGAAACACGGGCCAGACUCCUACGGGAGGCAGCAGUGGGGAAUCUUGCACAAUGGGGGCAACCCUGAUGCAGCGACGCCGCGUGAGCGAUGAAGCCCUUCGGGGUGUAAAGCUCUUUCGGCAGGGACGAUGAUGACGGUACCUGCAGAAGCAGCUGCGGCUAACUACGUGCCAGCAGCCGCGGUAAUACGUAGGCAGCGAGCGUUGUUCGGAGUUACUGGGCGUAAAGGGUGUGUAGGCGGUUUUCUAAGUUUGGUGUGAAAUCUCCCGGCUCAACCGGGAGGGUGCGCCGAAAACUGGGAGACUAGAGUGCGGGAUGGGAGAGUAGAAUUCCUGGUGUAGCGGUGAAAUGCGUAGAUAUCAGGAGGAAUACCGGUGGUGUAGACGGCUCUCUGGACCGCCACUGACGCUGAGACACGAAAGCGUGGGUAGCAAACAGGAUUAGAUACCCUGGUAGUCCACGCCCUAAACGAUGCAUAUUUGGUGUAGGUCAUUCAGUUGAUCUGUGCCGGAGCUAACGCGUUAAAUAUGCCGCCUGGGGAGUACAGUCGCAAGGCUGAAACUCAAAGGAAUUGACGGGGCCCGCACAAGCGGUGGAGCAUGUGGUUCAAUUCGACGCAACGCGAAGAACCUUACCUGGGCUCGAACGGCCGGGUUAACGGUGGUGGAAACACUGCUA
This 977-nucleotide ribosomal RNA is filed under the name uncultured bacterium. Its description in RNAcentral is "bacterial SSU rRNA". It matches the Rfam family "Bacterial small subunit ribosomal RNA", at positions 8 to 1014 of the family's 1533-position model. The record is from RNAcentral.